GAUAAGUUCCCUGUUUUUUAUUGAUUUGGGAUACUCUGUGAGACAAUCCAGGUGCUCAGUUUCUGUCUAAGCAAUGAAACUUGGCUAUAAGUUUAGAUUCACCACACUUUGUGGAUGAUUUGGGUGGAGAUCCUUUUUUAUUAGACACUGUCAGUUAAUCCGAUAGUCUUCCAGUAUCAUUUCUCUUCUAAGACUCCAGCAAAACAUCAAGGAGAGAAGUCCAAGGCCAUGAUUCAAAAUCCUUCAAAGCUGAUGAGAGAAACUUGUCAGUUGUGCCUGAAGUUUGUUUGCAGCGAGCUCUGGAUUGGAGUUUACCAGCUGCGAAUAGCAAGAUCGAUCCAAUGCCAUGCAACUAGCACGUCCUCACAGACCACCAGUAAAUGCUCGGUGGGCCUUGGUAUGGAAAUCUUUGACCUCAUCAAAACUUACUGCCAAUCCUCACCUGCAUUUAAAGAGGAGAAGACUGCAGGCCAGAUGAUCUUCUGCUCCGUGAUCUGGCUUCCUAAUUGCUGUCUAGUCAGUAGACGCAUAAAAGGCACGAGGAAGUGUCAGGGCCUGGGGCUGAAUAGCAGUUAUGCCACAGAAAGCUGGCAUAAUGGACAAAUGGUAUCCACCUUCAAGGCACUAGGUGGUCAAGCAGGCACAAAUAACUCUUAGCCAAGACAUUUUUGUAGCUCUCUAAUGGUGGGUGAGAUAAUGUCCAUACAACAGCAUCUUAGGCUCUUUUCGUGUUAUCCAUCAGAAAGGACUGCCUAACCAUUUACUGAUGCUUAGAUGUUAGGUUUUGCCCUGUGCUUUAGUUACCCUAAUGGGAUAGCAAGCCUCUUUUCUUCUAAGCAGCUGCCAGGAAAGUUGCCAGAGUGUUCAUGGGGGGGACGAGAGGAAAAUUCAAUCCUACACUGAGGGGACAACAUGGUCCCCCAAAUCCUGCGCCGUUGGCCAGUGGGCAUAGCCUGGUGCUUUCAGUGAU
Long non-coding RNA from Alligator sinensis (Chinese alligator), 970 nucleotides. RefSeq lists it as uncharacterized. NCBI's taxonomy places the organism in Eukaryota, Metazoa, Chordata, Crocodylia, Alligatoridae. The transcript has 4 exons. The record is from RefSeq and is a predicted model, not a curated record.